This is a long non-coding RNA of Lolium rigidum, 833 nucleotides long. RefSeq lists it as uncharacterized. Lineage: Eukaryota; Viridiplantae; Streptophyta; Magnoliopsida; Poales; Poaceae. The record is from RefSeq and is a predicted model, not a curated record. The transcript is spliced from 4 exons.
CCAUGAUUCCAUGUUUUAUCCCCACCUCUCAUCGUGCUCCCGUCCAUCCGCGACCGCCAACAUCUCCUGCUUGGUUUCUCAAAUCGAGUGAAGACCAGAGGGCGGAGGCGAGCAACUGGUUGAGCGCAGUAGAGCUCGAACCCCUGGCGCUGGAGAGGGUGAUUCGUGGUCCAUGUUGUGACAUCCUGCAUGGUCACUGUGUCUAUCAAAUAAGCACUAAACUAUACCACAGUAUUGCAACAACAAAUAAAGUACUGCUUGCUUGUUAAAUUCAUGCGUCAGCGAUGAGUUGCUGGGCAACGGAGGCGCUGGAUCUGCGUGCAUGGCUUGCCUUAGGGAAUUAUUUGAAUGAUAGCUCCAAGCAAGCCAGGUGCUUCAGUGAGAUCAGGGCCAGGUGUUGCUGGGGGAUGGAAAUGCAGUAGCUGGGCGGAGGAGAAGCACCCGGAGGCUGGAGGUGGAGUAGAUGCAGAGAUCGGGAGCAUCCAGGCGAGCAGUUGAACAUCGAGGCAGAGCCGGCUCUUGGACGAGCAUCUGAUGGUCGCUGGGCGAAGGGGAAGCGGAUCCCACGUGAUCAUGGCUGGGCGGAGGAGAAGCAGCUCCCAGGUGCUCCUGGGUGAGGGAUCAUGGUGGAGGCAGAUCCCAGGAGCACCUAGGCGAUGAGAUCCUAGUCGAGGCGCUCCUGGGUGAGGAGAUCGUGCUCGAGGACCUGGGCGAAGGCGAGGCGAGGAAAAAGAUGCACGAGGAGGAAGCGAUCACGAGGGGAAUCACGAUAUGCGAUCUGAUACGAAUCAUGGGUAGGAUGGACUUUUUAGCGCUUUUUCACCUGGUCGGAA